This 1134-nucleotide long non-coding RNA is filed under the name Mus spicilegus (steppe mouse). RNAcentral's name for it is "lncRNA (ENSMSIG00000024591.1)". The record is from RNAcentral. Lineage: Eukaryota; Metazoa; Chordata; Mammalia; Rodentia; Muridae.
UCCUUGGCAACCUUUCCCCUAUUUUCUCUUUAUUCUCCUCUUCCUCUUUCAUUCUCCUUUAUCAAAAGAUCCUGAAAUCCCUCUAAACCAUACAAAUGUAGAAAUCAUGCCCCCUCCAUCCCACACACACAAAAAAUGGUUUGUGUGCCUUCCUCUUAGAGUGACCUUCAUGCUACGAACCUGUCUGGAUGCUGGAUAUUGUAAGCUGUGCAAAGGAUGAAAGCUAUGGUGAGUUUGCGCUCUGGGGCCUUCUCUGACUUCUCAUUGGAUGACUCUGAAUUGCCUUGGACAGAUACACAAGAGUUAAUGAGCUGUGGAUGGGGGAAGAAGAAGCUACCAAAGGAAUCUUCUUGAUAGUCAUGUGAGCACCAGCCUUCUUCUACCCAGUUUGGUACCCACUAUCUAACAGGCACACCAUGCUCCAGGACAAACUGUCUCUUCUUUCAACUCUCCAUCCCCUUUAAUAGGCCAGCUAACAAUGAGCUGAACUUAUUUCUGGUUCCGGUAGACUUUACCUGAACUCACUCUGUGUGAAUUCACUAAAGGGCACAAAGGCCAACAACCCACAACUCUUCUCUGGGGUCAGGUUGUCUUGCCAGUUAAUCUAAGCCCUUAACAACAUACAGAAACAAACACUUUCAGUGCAACUUAGGUUAUUGGUGAAAGCUAAUUUUGAUGGGUCAUUAUAAAGUUCGGGUAGUUGGAGGGAGCUGGUUUCCUCCAGCUAGCAAAUCCAUCAUCCUGGAGAAGAAGAUUUAAAAGCAGCGCUGAAGACAUCGAAAAAGAGCAUGUGCUAAGACUUACACACCCUGAGAGCUUGCUUUCACUUUGUUGCUUCUGAAUUUCAGCUUUAAAAAGAACUGUGACAUCAUUUUCAUUAUGGAAACAAACAAACAAACAAACAAACAAACAAAAAACAACAGGAGAAGAAAAAGAAGGAAAAAAAGAAGGAAGGACAGAAGGAGGGACAGGAAAAUGGCAGGUCUUGGUGUCUCUAUGGUAUGGUGGUAGCUCAGACACAGUCAUGGACUUCAGACAACAGAACACAGGCAAAGGAGUAUUUGAGUCAGUGGCUUAACGUAGGCAUAGUCAGCAUAGCUAUAGCUAUACUUGCAGUUGACAAUUUAAUAAAAA